CCCCCCUCUCUCCCCCUUUCUUUUUUUUUUCUGCAAUGAGAUGCACCUUGACGCUUUUGUCUCCCGAUGGCAGUGUCCUGUCGAAGUGCUUCCCUUGCCACAGGGAAUUCCACUGAAGUCCAUGAUCCAACGUCUGAAGAAGAAAGUUCAUCAUUUGACAAAGAGGUCGAAGGAGAUGGAUGGUGAACUUCGCAAGUUGAGGGAGAGUCACUCCGAGGAC
This 220-nucleotide long non-coding RNA is filed under the name Elaeis guineensis (African oil palm). Its description in RNAcentral is "long non-coding RNA (EGUI_LNC066499)". The record is from RNAcentral. Lineage: Eukaryota; Viridiplantae; Streptophyta; Magnoliopsida; Arecales; Arecaceae.